Molecule: ribosomal RNA, 253 nt
Filed under: uncultured bacterium
Lineage: Bacteria
Description: partial 16S ribosomal RNA
Rfam family: Bacterial small subunit ribosomal RNA
Source: RNAcentral
UACGUAGGGGGCAAGCGUUGUCCGGAAUCAUUGGGCGUAAAGCGCGUGUAGGCGGUUCAGUAAGUCUGCUGUGAAAGUCCAGGGCUCAACCCUGGGAUGCCGGUGGAUACUGCUGGGCUAGAGUACGGAAGAGGCGAGUGGAAUUCCCGGUGUAGCGGUGAAAUGCGCAGAUAUCAGGAGGAACACCGGUGGCGAAGGCGGUUCUCUGGGCCUGUACUGACGCUGAGGAACGAAAGCGUGGGGAGCGAACAGG